Molecule: ribosomal RNA, 108 nt
Filed under: Teratosphaeria maxii
Lineage: Eukaryota; Fungi; Ascomycota; Dothideomycetes; Mycosphaerellales; Teratosphaeriaceae
Also listed under: 1 other name
Description: partial 28S ribosomal RNA
Rfam family: Eukaryotic large subunit ribosomal RNA
Source: RNAcentral
GUUGACCUCGGAUCAGGUAGGGAUACCCGCUGAACUUAAGCAUAUCAAUAAGCGGAGGAAAAGAAACCAACAGGGAUUGCCUCAGUAACGGCGAGUGAAGCGGCAACA